GGCUCAGGAUGAACGCUGGCGGCGUGCCUAAUACAUGCAAGUCGAGCGAACAGAUAAGGAGCUUGCUCCUUUGAAGUUAGCGGCGGACGGGUGAGUAACACGUGGGUAACCUACCUAUAAGACUGGGAUAACUUCGGGAAACCGGAGCUAAUACCGGAUAACAUUUAGAACCGCAUGGUUCUAAAGUGAAAGAUGGUUUUGCUAUCACUUAUAGAUGGACCCGCGCCGUAUUAGCUAGUUGGUAAGGUAACGGCCUACCAAGGCGACGAUACGUAGCCGACCUGAGAGGGUGAUCGGCCACACUGGAACUGAGACACGGUCCAGACUCCUACGGGAGGCAGCAGUAGGGAAUCUUCCGCAAUGGGCGAAAGCCUGACGGAGCAACGCCGCGUGAGUGAUGAAGGGUUUCGGCUCGUAAAACUCUGUUAUUAGGGAAGAACAAAUGUGUAAGUAACUGUGCACAUCUUGACGGUACCUAAUCAGAAAGCCACGGCUAACUACG
RNAcentral lists this ribosomal RNA (502 nucleotides) under uncultured bacterium. RNAcentral describes it as "bacterial SSU rRNA". It matches the Rfam family "Bacterial small subunit ribosomal RNA", at positions 21 to 505 of the family's 1533-position model. The record is from RNAcentral.